GACAGAGGGUGCAAACGUUGCUCGGAAUCACUGGGCGUAAAGCGCGUGUAGGCGGGUCGACAAGUCGGGUGUGAAAGCCCUGGGCUCAACCCAGGAUCUGCAUUCGAAACUGUCGGUCUUGAGUGUCGGAGAGGGAGGCGGAAUUCCAGGUGUAGAGGUGAAAUUCGUAGAUAUCUGGAGGAACACCAGUGGCGAAGGCGGCCUCCUGGACGACGACUGACGCUGAGACGCGAAAGCGUGGGGAGCAAACAGG
This 253-nucleotide unclassified non-coding RNA is filed under the name uncultured Myxococcales bacterium. Its description in RNAcentral is "contains 16S-23S intergenic spacer region". It matches the Rfam family "Bacterial small subunit ribosomal RNA", at positions 524 to 776 of the family's 1533-position model. Lineage: Bacteria; Pseudomonadati; Myxococcota; Myxococcia; Myxococcales. The record is from RNAcentral.